UGGGGAAUAUUGGACAAUGGGCGAAAGCCUGAUCCAGCCAUGCCGCGUGUGUGAAGAAGGUCUUCGGAUUGUAAAGCACUUUAAGUUGGGAGGAAGGGUUGUAGAUUAAUACUCUGCAAUUUUGACGUUACCGACAGAAUAAGCACCGGCUAACUCUGUGCCAGCAGCCGCGGUAAUACAGAGGGUGCAAGCGUUAAUCGGAAUUACUGGGCGUAAAACGCGCGUAGGUGGUUUGUUAAGUUGGAUGUGAAAUCCCCGGGCUCAACCUGGGAACUGCAUUCAAAACUGACUGACUAGAGUAUGGUAGAGGGUGGUGGAAUUUCCUGUGUAGCGGUGAAAUGCGUAGAUAUAGGAAGGAACACCAGUGGCGAAGGCGACCACCUGGACUAAUACUGACACUGAGGUGCGAAAGCGUGGGGAGCAAACA
This 427-nucleotide ribosomal RNA is filed under the name uncultured bacterium. RNAcentral describes it as "partial 16S ribosomal RNA". It matches the Rfam family "Bacterial small subunit ribosomal RNA", at positions 355 to 774 of the family's 1533-position model. The record is from RNAcentral.